Molecule: small nucleolar RNA, 104 nt
Organism: Saimiri boliviensis boliviensis (Bolivian squirrel monkey)
Lineage: Eukaryota; Metazoa; Chordata; Mammalia; Primates; Cebidae
Product: small nucleolar RNA U13
Source: RefSeq, a predicted model, not a curated record
GUCCUUUUGUAGCUCAUAAGCGUGAUGGUUGAGGGUUCAAGCGCACGUGUGAGAUGUACCUCCCUUAAACCUUGUCACAACAUCAGCACAUUAUCCAUCUGACA